GUUUACUGGUAACCAAGUGCCAUGAAGCAAACUUGCAAAAUAUACCAACGGUAAAUGUCUUGUAUCUAAUCAGAUGGACUCCUUCAUCCUCUGAGCUCGGGUCUUCUACCAGACGCCUGGGAGCUUCAGGGCUCUGCGGAGUAUCUUGGUUGUGCCUAGAAAUGCACAUUUCUGGACUGAGAGGUCUGAUGCUGUUCCUGGAAUCUGUUUUAGCCACUGCUCCAGUUUGAGGGUGAGGGCCCCUGCGCACCUCGGCCCUGUAGACGCAGGGUGAAUCCUAGCAACCUGCAGCCUCUCUUUGUCGGGAGUACCGGACCCCAGCUGAUGGUGUGGACCCGCUGAUUUUUGCCAGGAUCGGUUUGGUAAAUGCCAGGUCGCUGACAAAUAAAACUUGUCAUUAGAGAUUUCUUUUCUCUCAA
Molecule: long non-coding RNA, 419 nt
Organism: Poecilia reticulata (guppy)
Lineage: Eukaryota; Metazoa; Chordata; Actinopteri; Cyprinodontiformes; Poeciliidae
Source: RefSeq, a predicted model, not a curated record